GAUGAACGCUGGCGGCGUGCCUAGUACAUGCAAGUCGAGCGAACGGACGAGAAGCUUGCUUUUCUGAUGUUAGCGGCGGACGGGUGAGUAACACGUGGAUAACCUACCUAUAAGACUGGGAUAACUUCGGGAAACCGGAGCUAAUACCGGAUAAUAUUUUGAACCGCAUGGUUCAAAAGUGAAAGGCGGUCUUGCUGUCACUUAUAGAUGGAUCCGCGCUGCAUUAGCUAGUUGGUAAGGUAACGGCUUACCAAGGCAACGAUGCAUAGCCGACCUGAGAGGGUGAUCGGCCACACUGGAACUGAGACACGGUCCAGACUCCUACGGGAGGCAGCAGUAGGGAAUCUUCCGCAAUGGGCGAAAGCCUGACGGAGCAACGCCGCGUGAGUGAUGAAGGUCUUCGGAUCGUAAAACUCUGUUAUUAGGGAAGAACAUAUGUGUAAGUAACUGUGCACAUCUUGACGGUACCUAAUCAGAAAGCCACGGCUAACUACGUG
RNAcentral lists this ribosomal RNA (497 nucleotides) under uncultured bacterium. Its description in RNAcentral is "partial 16S ribosomal RNA". It matches the Rfam family "Bacterial small subunit ribosomal RNA", at positions 28 to 507 of the family's 1533-position model. The record is from RNAcentral.